CGGAGGCCGCGCUUACAGGUCGGUGCCGAGCUGGGUGAAGCCGGAGUUGAGGCAGCCGCGGGCUAUGCGCCUCCAGAGGAGAUCGCGGCUGCUGAGGAAGCGCAGGCGGCGGCAGACCUGGCCCAGGCGGCCCAAGGCCUGCACGUCCAGGAGCCUGGAGUACUGACAGCACAGAAGGAUCCUGGUCCAAAAUGGCAAAGUAGCCUUCCACAAACAGUGGAGCAGGAAAAUAUGAGUAUAGUGUUGUGCUAUUCUUUCUUGCAGUAUUUUCCACUCUAUGGAAGCCUGAAGUGCUUGGGGAAACUUCUGCCUCAGAAUUAAAAAAUAGAUAAAUUAUGAAAAGUAAAUCAUCUACCUAGAAUGCUUUGUAUCGGUAUCGCUUACCCACCACAGACUACAUCUCCUUUUGCAUAGUGGAGUAGGAAAAUAAAUUUCAGCAUAUAAUGAGGUUACCAUAGCAGACAGGCCUUUUAGACAGUUAUUGCAUCUAGUUCCAGAAGGUCAUCGUGUCUGCGUAAUCUCAAGCACUCAAGUAUUCAGAUGGCUAAAUCAGCAGCUCUGGAGGCCUUGUAUUUGAGAGGUUCAACACUGCCAGCUGAGGGACCUCUGGUCCAUUUAGACUGAGUUUCAAUGCACCCUGGAAUUCAAGGAGAUUCCAGAAGACCAAAAGAAGGCAAAUGUUUUAUCAGCAUUUAUUCCGAGUGAAUCAGCCCAAUUAAUUACAAAAUUCUCAGCCUAAUAUUAAGCUCAGGUAAGAUAACUGCACAUCUGGUACGGGAUUUCAGUAGCCAAUUGAAAGGGAGGUAACGUAACAAACAUUGCUUAACAAAAGAUUAUGGAAAAUUGGUGUGAAUGCAGUUUUAUAACAAACUAAUUCAAUAUCUUUUUGAUGAUGUUAAGCUUAAACAUGUAUUUAUAAUUAGCUCUUUUGUAAUAGACUUUGUCAAUGUCUGAAACAUUAAAUUUAUUAAAAGCUGAA
Cygnus atratus (black swan) is the source of this 979-nucleotide long non-coding RNA. RefSeq lists it as uncharacterized. The record is from RefSeq and is a predicted model, not a curated record. The transcript has 2 exons. Lineage: Eukaryota; Metazoa; Chordata; Aves; Anseriformes; Anatidae.